This 465-nucleotide ribosomal RNA is filed under the name Vreelandella stevensii. Its description in RNAcentral is "partial 16S ribosomal RNA". It matches the Rfam family "Bacterial small subunit ribosomal RNA", at positions 338 to 795 of the family's 1533-position model. The record is from RNAcentral. Lineage: Bacteria; Pseudomonadati; Pseudomonadota; Gammaproteobacteria; Oceanospirillales; Halomonadaceae.
CCUACGGGGUGCAGCAGUGGGGAAUAUUGGACAAUGGGCGAAAGCCUGAUCCAGCCAUGCCGCGUGUGUGAAGAAGGCCUUCGGGUUGUAAAGCACUUUCAGUGGGGAAGAAAGCCUUGGGGCUAAUACCCUCGAGGAAGGACAUCACCCACAGAAGAAGCACCGGCUAACUCCGUGCCAGCAGCCGCGGUGAUACGGAGGGUGCGAGCGUUAAUCGGAAUUACUGGGCGUAAAGCGCGCGUAGGCGGUCUGAUAAGCCGGUUGUGAAAGCCCCGGGCUCAACCUGGGAACGGCAUCCGGAACUGUCAGGCUAGAGUGCAGGAGAGGAAGGUAGAAUUCCCGGUGUAGCGGUGAAAUGCGUAGAGAUCGGGAGGAAUACCAGUGGCGAAGGCGGCCUUCUGGACUGACACUGACGCUGAGGUGCGAAAGCGUGGGUAGCAAACAGGAUUAGAUACCCUAGUAGUC